AAUUAUUCAUGUGGCGAAAGUUUAAGUGAAGAGAUCAAUAACGUUUCGAAUGGUCCGAAGCCCGACGGCUCAAAUUAAUUAAGUUUCGAUGGAGGAGAAUUCUGAAAAAUAAAGUUUCGGUGAAGUAAAGUUCCGAGAGUUAAAAUGUACUCACACACCGUAGUUUAUUCAACGAGAGGGUGUGAAAAAUCAGAAAAACCGUAAAUCAGAUUCACCAGGAUUUCGAACGUAAAAAUAUGGAAAAUUCAAAGCACAGCAAGAUCAAAGUGGCGGAAUCUCACCAAGCCGGAAAUUCACGGUAUUGAAUAUCUUCGAUCAUUCGGAAUUUCAAUGUUUCAUAUCAAACUUGUGUCAUUUUCGCACUUUCGGAACUUUCACUUACCAAAGUUACGCCUUUUCGCAAGUUUAUCCUUUCGGAACUUUUUGAGCGUCGGGUUUCGGAACAUUCGAAUUAAACUUUGACGUUUCGUCAAAGUUUGAUUUCUUUACUUCAAGUUCCGCCACUAAAAAAUUCGAAAUUUCUCACUUUCGAAACGUUUUAAAUUCGGUAUUCCAUCCCCGCCCCGAUCAUUCGUCCGUCUCGGUGCCCGACGCAAAAACACCAAUCAACAUGCAUUGAUUUUAAAGCUGACGCAGCUUUACUUGUCCGGAAACAAUUUUAUUCUCUUCGUCCACUCUCCGGUGAAUUGAAAUUUUUCACAAAAAUCGGGACCAGAAAUCCAAACAAGGAAUGAAUACGCUCUAUUCCAUACAUUUAUACAUAACUAGCUGGCCCGGCAGACGUUGUCCUGCCCUUUCCGUUUAUAUUUCACAAUACAGAUGCUGCAACUUACCUGCCGGAAAUAUGCCACCCGGUAUCAAGCCUACUUGCUGAUAAUAUUCCUCAUCCGACAACGGAUACUUGAGCCAUUCCUUCAGAGAUUCCGGUGGUGGACGGGUUCCGGGGUUGUCUGGAAACGAAUAUCUCGAAAUGAUCACGAAUGUUUGUGGCAGACGCAGGCGAAUAAUUCACUCACUGUUAACGCUACGAACAACGGUAGGAAAAAUAGAAUCUAAUCACAUGUUUUCUUUCUUAAUAGAAGUGGUUAUAUGUGUACUAUGUGUGGUAUAGUUUCUACACAUGGAAGUGGAAUGCUAUUCAUAUGGUCUCACACUCAUCCGGAUACUAAGUAUCUAAAGUCUGAGUAUAGUCAACUAACGUGAAAUUGUUAACAAAGAUGCAAAAGCUUAAAGUGAGCAGUACUUUGGGAUAUGGUCGACUACAUUGGCUUUAAGUAUCUCCUUUGACUUCACUUUCUGCUAGUAAUGAGUAAGAAAUAAGUCGCUAUGUGUGAUACUAGGGAUUGUAGACAUGGACGCCACUAUCUUCACCGUAUAUGUAUAUUGUCAUCCUACCGAUAAUUCCAGGAUUAUUGGGAUCGAACAAUUGUCUCCUGUCGAUGGCGUCACGGAAUUCAUCGCUUGGCAUUCGGCGAACGAAGAAUGGUGGUUUGGGAUGAA
Molecule: long non-coding RNA, 1500 nt
Organism: Neodiprion virginianus
Lineage: Eukaryota; Metazoa; Arthropoda; Insecta; Hymenoptera; Diprionidae
Exons: 2
Source: RefSeq, a predicted model, not a curated record